RNAcentral lists this ribosomal RNA (137 nucleotides) under uncultured bacterium. Its description in RNAcentral is "partial 16S ribosomal RNA". It matches the Rfam family "Bacterial small subunit ribosomal RNA", at positions 355 to 509 of the family's 1533-position model. The record is from RNAcentral.
UGGGGAAUAUUGCACAAUGGGGGAAACCCUGAUGCAGCGACGCCGCGCGAGCGAUGAAGUAUUUCGGUAUGUAAAGCUCUAUCAGCAGGGAAGAAAAUGACGGUACCUGACUAAGAAGCCCCGGCUAACUACGUGCC